This 2302-nucleotide unclassified non-coding RNA is filed under the name Hevea brasiliensis (rubber tree). The record is from RNAcentral. Lineage: Eukaryota; Viridiplantae; Streptophyta; Magnoliopsida; Malpighiales; Euphorbiaceae.
UGAAGAUGAGGAUGACAGCCAUGAUAUGGUUUUAAUUAAAGAGUUGGGUGAAAGUUUCUUGAAGAACUUCUGUAAAAAGGCAUCAACUGGUUUUUUUGAGAAGUAUGGUUUAAUCAGUCACCAGAUUAAUUCAUAUAAUGACUUCAUCAACUAUGGAAUCCAAAGGGUGUUUGACUCGGUUGGGGAGAUCCAUGUUGAGCCAGGUUAUGAUCCAUCAAAGAGAGGUGAUGGUGAUUGGAAACAUGCUUCUGUGAAAUUCGGGAAAGUAACCCUUGAGAGGCCGAAGUUUUGGGCUGGGGAAAAGUUUUCUGUGGAUGGUGGGAAAGAGUACCUGGACUUGUUGCCACGACAUGCUCGCCUCCAGAACAUGACGUAUUCUGCCAGGAUUAUGGUUGAGACUCAUGUUCAGGUGUAUACCAAAAAGCUAGUUAGAAGUGACAAGUUCAAAACUGGCGUAGACCGGUUUGUCGACAAGGAGUGGGAAGUGGAAGACAAAAGGGAUGUCUUGAUUGGGAGAAUCCCUGUGAUGGUUAACUCAGAAUUGUGCUGGAUGAAUGGCGUUGACAAGCUUGACUGUGAAUUUGAUCAUGGGGGAUACUUCAUUGUCAAAGGGGCUGAAAAGACCUUCAUUGCACAAGAGCAGCUUUGUUUAAAAAGGCUCUGGGUGUCAAACAAUCCUACUUGGAUGGUUGGAUAUCGCCCAGGUGAAAAAAGGAAGAGAGUCUACAUUAAACUGACUGAGACCUUGAAGCUUGAGCACAUUAAGGGAGGAGAAAAAGCCCUCAGUGUAUACAUCCUUGCAGAAAUGCCAAUUUGGGUCUUGUUUUUUGCUCUAGGUGUUUCCUCCGACAGGGAGGUGGUAAAUUUAAUUGAUGUGGAUAUUGAAGAUACUACUAUUGUCAAUAUACUAGUAGCUUCCAUCCAUGAGGCUGAUAAGAAUUGUGAGGAUUUCAGGAAGGGGAAAAAGGCUCUUGCUUAUGUUGAUAGACUUAUAAAGAAUUGUAAAUUUCCACCUCAAGAAUCUGUUGAGGAGUGCAUAAAUGCAUACCUGUUCCCUAAUCUUAGUGGUUUCAAGCAGAAGGCUCGCUUCCUUGGCUAUAUGGUAAAAUGCCUCUUGCACUCUUUCAUUGGUCGCAGAAAGGUUGACAACAGAGAUGAUUUUCGAAACAAGAGAUUGGAGCUGGCUGGUGAGCUCCUAGAACGAGAGCUCAGGGCACAUAUUAAACAUGCUGAGAGGCGUAUGGUGAAGGCAAUGCAAAGAGAUCUUUAUGGAGAUCGACAAGUGCAGCCAAUUGAGCAUUACUUGGAUGCAUCAAUAAUUACCAAUGGUCUCUCUAGGGCUUUUUCCACUGGGCAUUGGUGUCACCCUUACAAGAGAAUGGAGAGGGUUUCCGGUGUAGUUGCAACUCUUAGACGAACAAAUCCAUUGCAAAUGACUGCUGAUAUGAGGAAAUCGCGUCAGCAGGUUACAUACACCGGGAAGGUUGGCGAUGCUAGAUACCCACAUCCUUCACACUGGGGAAAGCUAUGUUUUCUAUCUACCCCAGAUGGAGAAAAUUGUGGCCUGGUGAAAAAUUUGGCUAGUAUGGGUCUUGUCAGCACAAUUAUUUUGAAACCAUUUCUUGAGACAUUGUUCCGGUGUGGGAUGCAAAAGUUAGUAGACGAUUGUUCCACCUCACUCCAUGGAAAGCAAAAGGUACUACUUGAUGGGGAGUGGGUUGGAGUAUGUGAAGAUUCUGCACUCUUCGUUUCAAAGCUAAGACGUAAGCGCCGCAGGAAUGAAGUGCCACACCAGGUUGAAGUUAAGAGAGAUGAGCUGCAGGGUGAAGUUCGCAUAUUUUCUGAUCCUGGAAGAAUUCUGCGUCCUCUUCUUGUUGUUUCAAAUCUAAAGAAAAUCAAAGCUUUGAAAGGGGGAGAUUAUGGCUUUCAAUCUCUUCUGGACAAUGGGAUUAUUGAGCUUAUAGGACCUGAAGAAGAAGAAGACUGUCGAACUGCAUGGGGAGUUGAGUACAUCUUAAAAGCAGAUAAAGAGAACCCCCCUGCUAAGUAUACUCAUUGUGAGUUGGACAUGUCAUUCCUAUUAGGCUUGAGCUGUGGUAUUAUCCCAUUUGCAAACCAUGAUCAUGCUAGGAGGGUCCUCUAUCAAUCUGAGAAGCACUCUCAGCAAGCAAUUGGGUUUUCAACAGUGAAUCCAAACAUUAGAGUUGAUACAAAUACCCAUCAAUUGUAUUACCCUCAGAGGCCACUUUUCGGGACAAUGUUGUCAGAUUCCCUUGGGAAACCAAAAUGUGCUCAGUACCAG